GUUACGUGCGUAGACAAUGAGCGAAGUAACUAUAGGAAAAGCGUGGCGGAGGAGGUGUGCGAUGAGGACGGAAUCAGCAUCGUCGCUGGAGGCGGUGGCGCGUGGAGAUAGGAGGGGAUGUCCCCAAGGAGAAACGAGUGAGAGGUCGAGAUGGGUAACAGAUCGGAAGCAAGUGGGUAACAUGAAAAGGUCACGGAUGUUACCACGGAGAGUGAGGGAAGUUCUCGUGGCUCGUUCAAGGACGAGCCAUUUCCGGCAGACAAGUGCGGCGGUGUUCCGGCUGCGAACGUCGGAGACGGCGGCGAUAAUGUUAGAAAGGAUCACAUCAGGAAGGUCAUUGAUGAUGGUGGGUCUAGCUAAAGUAGCCAUUGAAGAAGAAGAAGA
Molecule: unclassified non-coding RNA, 384 nt
Filed under: Hevea brasiliensis (rubber tree)
Lineage: Eukaryota; Viridiplantae; Streptophyta; Magnoliopsida; Malpighiales; Euphorbiaceae
Source: RNAcentral